CACACUGGGAUUGAGAACGGCCCAGACUCCUACGGGGGGCAGCAGUGAGGAAUUUUCGGCAAUGGGGGCAACCCUGACCGAGCAACGCCGCGUGCAGGAGGACGCUUUUCGGAGUGUAAACUGCUUUUCUGUGGGACGAGAGAGGACGGUACCGCAGGAAGAAGCCCCGGCUAACUACGUGCCAGCCGCCGCCGUAACAC
This 200-nucleotide ribosomal RNA is filed under the name uncultured bacterium. Its description in RNAcentral is "partial 16S ribosomal RNA". It matches the Rfam family "Bacterial small subunit ribosomal RNA", at positions 309 to 526 of the family's 1533-position model. The record is from RNAcentral.